GACGAACGCUGGCGGCGUGCCUAAUACAUGCAAGUAGAACGCUGAAGGAGGAGCUUGCUUCUCUGGAUGAGUUGCGAACGGGUGAGUAACGCGUAGGUAACCUGCCUGGUAGCGGGGGAUAACUAUUGGAAACGAUAGCUAAUACCGCAUAAUAGUAGAUGUUGCAUGACAUUUGCUUAAAAGGUGCAAUUGCAUCACUACCAGAUGGACCUGCGUUGUAUUAGCUAGUUGGUGAGGUAACGGCUCACCAAGGCGACGAUACAUAGCCGACCUGAGAGGGUGAUCGGCCACACUGGGACUGAGACACGGCCCAGACUCCUACGGGAGGCAGCAGUAGGGAAUCUUCGGCAAUGGACGGAAGUCUGACCGAGCAACGCCGCGUGAGUGAAGAAGGUUUUCGGAUCGUAAAGCUCUGUUGUAAGAGAAGAACGAGUGUGAGAGUGGAAAGUUCACACUGUGACGGUACCUUACCAGAAAGGGACGGCUAACUACGUG
RNAcentral lists this ribosomal RNA (495 nucleotides) under uncultured bacterium. RNAcentral's name for it is "partial 16S ribosomal RNA". It matches the Rfam family "Bacterial small subunit ribosomal RNA", at positions 28 to 507 of the family's 1533-position model. The record is from RNAcentral.